Molecule: ribosomal RNA, 209 nt
Filed under: uncultured bacterium
Lineage: Bacteria
Description: partial 16S ribosomal RNA
Rfam family: Bacterial small subunit ribosomal RNA
Source: RNAcentral
UACGUAGGAGGCAAGCGUUGUCCGGAUUUACUGGGCGUAAAGCGCGCGCAGGCGGCAGUGCAAGUAAGGUGUGAAAUCUCCCUGCUCAACGGGGAGGGUGCAUUUUAGACUGCACAGCUAGAGGUCGGUAGAGGGGGUGGAAUUGCUGGUGGUAGCGGUGAAAUGGCGUAGAGAUCAGCAGGAACACCCGUGGCGAAGGCGGCCCCUGG